AGAACGAACGCUGGCGGCGUGGAUAAGACAUGCAAGUCGAACGCGACUUAUUCGGUUAGCAAUAACUGGGUAAGUUGAGUGGCGAAAGGGUGCGUAACACGUGGGAAUUUACCAAGAAGUGGGGAAUAGCUUGACGAAAGUCAAAUUAAUACCGCAUGUGAUCGAAAGAUCAAAGCCGGGGACCGCAAGGCCUGGCGCUUUUUGAGAAGCCCGCGGCCCAUCAGCUAGUUGGCGGGGUAAAAGCCCACCAAGGCUAUGACGGGUAGCUGGUCUGAGAGGACGACCAGCCACACUGGAACUGAGACACGGUCCAGACACCUACGGGUGGCAGCAGUCGAGAAUUUUUUCACAAUGG
Molecule: ribosomal RNA, 355 nt
Filed under: uncultured bacterium
Lineage: Bacteria
Description: SSU rRNA
Rfam family: Bacterial small subunit ribosomal RNA
Source: RNAcentral